AAUCAACGCUGGCGGCGUGCCUCAGACAUGCAAGUCGAACGCGAAAGGUUCCUUCGGGAACCGAGUAGAGUGGCGCACGGGUGAGUAACACGUAGGUAAUUUGCCUUUGGGUGGGGAAUAACAGCCGGAAACGGCUGCUAAUACCGCAUAAUGCAGCGGCUCGACAUCGAGACAGUUGUUAAAGCGGGGGAUCGCAAGACCUCGCGCCUAAAGAGAAGCCUGCGGCAGAUUAGCUAGUUGGUAGGGUAAUGGCCUACCAAGGCGACGAUCUGUAACCGGCCUGAGAGGGCGGUCGGUCACACUGACACUGACAUACGGGUCAGACUCCUACGGGAGGCAGCAGUCGGGAAUUUUGGGCAAUGGGCGAAAGCCUGACCCAGCAACGCCGCGUGAAGGAUGAAAUCCC
This 406-nucleotide ribosomal RNA is filed under the name uncultured bacterium. RNAcentral describes it as "bacterial SSU rRNA". It matches the Rfam family "Bacterial small subunit ribosomal RNA", at positions 32 to 417 of the family's 1533-position model. The record is from RNAcentral.